GCUUGCGCAGCCAUGGGUGUCGCGUGGUGCCGGCGUGCACUGCGCACACGUGUAAACCCCAUAGGCGUAGACAACUCGAACAAAGAUGAAUGUCCUAGGGAUUACGGGUUCGGCAACGGCGCAAGCCUUCGUCGGGCCCCUCCAUCCCGGGGUGUCCCGCCGCCGGGCUCCGGCCCGAGUGGGCAUCCCUCGAGUGUGUAGGAUGUGACCCGAAAGAUGGUGAACUAUGCCUGAUCAGGCCGAAGUCAGGGGAAACCCUGAUGGAGGGCCGAAGCAAUUCUGACGUGCAAAUCGAUUGUCAGAGUUGGGCAUAGGGGCGAAAGACCAAUCGAACCAUCUAGUAGCUGGUUCCUUCCGA
RNAcentral lists this ribosomal RNA (358 nucleotides) under Anopheles pseudowillmori. RNAcentral's name for it is "eukaryotic LSU rRNA". It matches the Rfam family "Eukaryotic large subunit ribosomal RNA", at positions 670 to 964 of the family's 3401-position model. The record is from RNAcentral. Lineage: Eukaryota; Metazoa; Arthropoda; Insecta; Diptera; Culicidae.